GUUCCACAAAGAAUAAACGUACUUAAAAAAUUAUAUGAAUUUUUCGAAGUGGGUUUUGAAACUGGAAUUAUUUCAUUACUUGGCUCCAUUUGAAGUAAUUCGAAGUCUGUCACUUAAUUUUUAUAUUAUUUUGUGUUUAUCGACAACAAAAAUAUAUAUCAUAGCGUAAGUUUUUAAAUAUAUUUUGUGCUGGAAAAAUUUAUAUUAAUUAAUGUAAAGUCUCACACUUUAUUAAAUCGCAUAUCAACGUCUGGUGAAAAUUCUCGCUCACGUCACCGCGUAAUGUACCGGUAAUGAGAAAUUAUGUGGUAAUUUUUGAAUAUUGAUAAGGACGUGGCUGUGGGUUAUAACGACUCUGCUCAAGCGCGCGAAUAUACAAAGCGUAUGCGGAAAAGAGUCGCAGAAGCUUUGAAUUCGUUGGGAGAAGGAGCUUUUUAAAGACUGGAAGGAUGGCCACAUUAUUUGGUGGAUUAUAAAGCAAAACUAAAAAGAAGAGUUGCUGCAGUACGUCUGUCUCAUAACUGUACUGGAGGUGGGCCUUCCAAUGUUCCACCCUUGGAUGCAUUGGAACGAAAAUUCUUGAGCAUUCUAGUGGCGGGUUUUGGGUCCGGUUUGUGUAAUGUACAAGUUGACCCAUUUACAAAUAUACCAACUACUAGUGGCAGUGCAUUGGGGUCAGAAAAUUUGGACACCGACUCUGAUGCAGUAAUGAUUGAGUGCACUGCAUCAGAGUCAGUGUCCCGAGGAGACAUACAUACAGAAGAGGAAAUAACUAUAGACACACAAGAAACAGGAAUUGAAGUACCUCAAGUAGAACUCAAAGUUCCUACAGAAGCCCCUUCGUCUGACCUGACACAUCAGUGUACAACAGGGAACUAUUAGUAUGGAGAAAGCUCGGACUACCUUAAUAGAUGUCGCAAGGUCACGACUGCAAGAACAGAAUAGACGGAUGCUGUUACAGAGCAAAUGCUCAAUACAUUAAUAAGGAUAGCUGAAUCAAUUAACAGAAGUUGGAGAACUCCAGAGGCGAGAAACGAGGCGCCUGGCAGCUAAAGCUUCAUUUAAUUCUGCACUUGAAGACUGAGACAGUUCGUGGCGAGUAUGAUGGAGUUGCAUUGUACCCUCUAAUGGAGCCUCUUCAUCAGUGAGCGUCGAUUAAUGACAUGAUAGAAGAACAUAAAUAUUAAGUUAUCAUAAGUGUGAUGUAAAUUAUGUUUGUUAAGAAAUAAAAUUAUUGUUCAAUGUGUUACAUAAGUUAGUUAGUUAGUGUAUUUAACAUGUUUGCAUAUUUAAAUUUUCUAUACUUAUAAUAAAUCUGUAGAGAGGUCAAUUCUGUACAUGAAAUAUAUUUGCAAAAUAACUAUCAGGCGGUGAUUAGUGAUCGAUACUGAUGCCAAAAAUGCAAUCAGUAAGAUUUUUGUCUGUCUGUCUGUAUGUUCGUUAUAGAAACAAAAACUACUCGAAGGAUUUUAACGAAACUCGGUACAAUUAUUCUUCAUACUCCUGGGCAGGUUAUAGUAUACUUUUCAUCACGCUACGAUCAAUAGGAGCAGAGCAGUGAAGGGAAAUGUUGGGAAAACGGGAGAAGUUACUUCAUUUUUUAGCUACCGUCGCGUGUGCAGCCUUAAGACCACUUUUUAAAAUGUAAAAAUGUCCACACGUGCGACGCCGGGACGGGCCGCUAGUUUUAUUUUUAUUUUAUUUUAUCUUUAUUUGGUCUCCUAGUAAUUGUUACACUGAUAAGAUUUAAUAUUAAAAUUACCGUCUAUUUAUACUUAGUGUACAAUCAUUUUAAAGGAAAAACAGCAUGCUAAUUAACAAAAACAAUAAUAUGGUAUAACAAUCUCUUGAAGUAUUUGACAUUGGUAUAGUUUUUUAGAUUCAGUAGAUGAUUGCUUCACAUAAGUUUUUUAGCUAUUUAAAUUAACUGUAAUGCUUUCCUAUAGAAAUCCCCUUCUGUAUCGAAGUGAAUAUCCAAGUGUUGCUUGCAAUCAUUCAACAGCUUGCAAAGACGUGGUACAGUGGAGUUGGCACCAAGAACAGUUCUACGGAACGGCACGGACAUUAGACUGAUGUAACUACGGGGAUAGUGUACGGGCAAUCGAAAAUUAAAUUUGGCAAGAAGCUGAGAACAGUCAAUUCUGUUCCUAAACAACUUAUAUAAGAACAUUAAAUCUAUUAAUGUUCUACGCUUAUCAAGUGAUACCAUAUUGAAAUAGAUAAGUCUGUCCCCGUAGGCCACCAAGGUCUUAGAUUGUCGAGCUGAAAAAGCCAAAUGCCAGAGAAACCUUUUUUGUAUACGCUCUAAUCUUAAAAUAUGGGUCGAAUAAUGUGGUCGCCAAACUAUCGAACCAUAUUCCAAGACGCUUCGAACUAAUGAAUAAUAUAAUUUUAUUUUAGUUUUUGGAUUUACAAAUUCCUUGGCAUUGCGAAUUACAAAACCUAAAGCUCUUGAUGCCUUUGCUAUUACAAACUCUAUUUGAGGUAAAUAUGUUAAUAGUUAGUUAGUUAAUAGUUGUUUUAUAUAUCUAAUAAAGCUCAAUUUGAAUUAAUUCAAUACAUUUAUAUAUAAAUACACACACACACAAAAUACGUGAAUUUACUGGGUACAGAAGAAUAACACCUGAGUCCUCAGGAAUGGCAACGCAUGGGGGGUAUCAUGGGCGAAACAGUAUACUCUGUUAUGUCCACGGUACUGCUCAUGUCUAUAAGCGACGGUUACCGCUUUCCAUCAGGUGGGCCGUCAGCUUGUUUGCCAUUCUAUGUUGUAUAAAAAAAAAAAAUAUAAAUACACAAUUAAACUUAUUGAAGUGUCAUUGAAAUCAACAAGCAUCAAACAUAAUAAAUCAACAUAGCGACUGUGUAUUUAGCUAAUGAUACUGUUUACUACAGUAGUGUCUCUCCUAGUUCUCGGGCGUACAAUCGCAACACGGGUACAAUCGAUAUACUCCAACACUCCUGGCAUUCCAAAUUUAUUAAAGCUAUAACAACAGAAUAAGAAUAAGCUAUAAGAACAAAACCAAAACAGCAUGUAAAGUAACGUAAAGUAAGUAACAUGAUGUAAAGUAUCACACACAAGCCAAAAAAAAAAAAAAAAAAAAAAAAAAAAAA
This is a long non-coding RNA of Galleria mellonella (greater wax moth), 3111 nucleotides long. RefSeq lists it as uncharacterized. The record is from RefSeq and is a predicted model, not a curated record. Lineage: Eukaryota; Metazoa; Arthropoda; Insecta; Lepidoptera; Pyralidae. The transcript has 5 exons.